UGAGGAAUAUUGCGCAAUGGAGGAAACUCUGACGCAGCCAUGCCGCGUGCAGGAAGACGGCCUUACGGGUUGUAAACUGCUUUUGUAUGCCAAGAAACUUUAGUACGUGUACUAAACUGACGGUAGCAUAUGAAUAAGGAUCGGCUAACUCCGUGCCAGCAGCCGCGGUAAUACGGAGGAUCCAAGCGUUAUCCGGAUUUAUUGGGUUUAAAGGGUCCGUAGGCGGAAAAUUAAGUCAGUGGUGAAAUCCUACAGCUUAACUGUAGAACUGCCAUUGAUACUGGUUUUCUUGAGUACAAAUGAGGUGAGUGGAAUGUGGCGUGUAGCGGUGAAAUGCAUAGAUAUGCCACAGAACACCAAUUGCGAAGGCAGCUCACUAACAUGUAACUGACGCUGAGGGACGAAAGCGUGGGGAGCGAACGGG
This 424-nucleotide ribosomal RNA is filed under the name uncultured bacterium. Its description in RNAcentral is "bacterial SSU rRNA". It matches the Rfam family "Bacterial small subunit ribosomal RNA", at positions 355 to 776 of the family's 1533-position model. The record is from RNAcentral.